ACCCGUGUGAUGCUCAGUACGGCGAGUGAGCGGCAAAAGCUCAAAUUUGAAAUCUAGCACCUUCGGUGUUCGAGUUGUAAUUUGAAGAUGGUAACCUUGGGUUUGGCUCUUGUCUAUGUUCCUUGGAACAGGACGUCAUAGAGGGUGAGAAUCCCGUCUGAUGAGAUGCCCAUUCCUAUGUAAGGUGCUAUCGAAGAGUCGAGUUGUUUGGGAAUGCAGCUCUAAGUGGGUGGUAAAUUCCAUCUAAAGCUAAAUAUUGGCGAGAGACCGAUAGCGAACAAGUACAGUGAUGGAAAGAUGAAAAGAACUUUGAAAAGAGAGUGAAAAAGUACGUGAAAUUGUUGAAAGGGAAGGGCAUUAGAUCAGACUUGGUGUUUUACGAUUAUCUUCUCUUCUUGAGUUGUGCACUCGUAUUUCACUGGGCCAGCAUCGAUUCGGAUGGCAAGAUAAUGGCAGUUGAAUGUGGCUUCACUUCGGUGGAGUGUUAUAGCUUCUGCUGAUAUUGCCUGUCUGGAUCGAGGGCUGCGUCUUUUGACUAGGAUGCUGGCGUAAUGAUCUAAUGCCGCCCGUCUUGAAACACGGACCC
Molecule: ribosomal RNA, 586 nt
Filed under: Hansenula anomala
Lineage: Eukaryota; Fungi; Ascomycota; Saccharomycetes; Phaffomycetales; Wickerhamomycetaceae
Description: eukaryotic LSU rRNA
Rfam family: Eukaryotic large subunit ribosomal RNA
Source: RNAcentral